This 369-nucleotide ribosomal RNA is filed under the name Theileria ovis. Its description in RNAcentral is "SSU rRNA". It matches the Rfam family "Eukaryotic small subunit ribosomal RNA", at positions 522 to 924 of the family's 1831-position model. Lineage: Eukaryota; Apicomplexa; Aconoidasida; Piroplasmida; Theileriidae. The record is from RNAcentral.
AAUUUAAACCUCUUCCAGAGUAUCAAUUGGAGGGCAAGUCUGGUGCCAGCAGCCGCGGUAAUUCCACCUCCAAUAGCGUAUAUUAAAAUUGUUGCAGUUAAAAAGCUCGUAGAUGAAUUUCUGCUGCAUUGCUUUUGCUCCUUUACGAGUCUUUGCAUUGUGGCUUAUUUCGGACUUUGUUUUACAAUGUCCGGAUGUUUACUUUAAGAAAAUUAGAGUGCUCAAAGCAGGCUUUCGCCUUGAAUAGUUUAGCAUGGAAUAAUAAAGUAGGACUUUGGUUCUAUUUUGUUGGUUUUAGCUACCAAAGUAAUGGUUAAUAGGAACAGUUGGGGGCAUUCGUAUUUGACUGUCAGAGGUGAAAUUCUUAGA